Molecule: ribosomal RNA, 459 nt
Filed under: uncultured bacterium
Lineage: Bacteria
Description: partial 16S ribosomal RNA
Rfam family: Bacterial small subunit ribosomal RNA
Source: RNAcentral
CCUACGGGAGGCUGCAGUGAGGAAUAUUGGUCAAUGGGCGCGAGCCUGAACCAGCCAAGUCGCGUGAGGGAAGACGGUCCUAUGGAUUGUAAACCUCUUUUGUCGGGGAGCAAAAGACGCCACGCGUGGCGUUCCGAGAGUACCCGAAGAAAAAGCAUCGGCUAACUCCGUGCCAGCAGCCGCGGUAAUACGGAGGAUGCGAUCGUUAACCGGUUUUAUUGGGUUUAAAGGGUGCGCAGGCGGAAGGUCAAGUCAGCGGUAAAAUUGAGAGGCUCAACCUCUUCGAGCCGUUGAAACUGGUGUUCUUGAGUGAGCGAGAAGUAUGCGGAAUGCGUGGUGUAGCGGUGAAAUGCAUAGAUAUCACGCAGAACUCCGAUUGCGAAGGCAGCAUACCGGCGCUCAACUGACGCUCAUGCACGAAAGUGUGGGUAUCGAACAGGAUUAGAUACCCCUGUAGUC